GGAAGUAAAAGUCGUAACAAGGUCUCCGUUGGUGAACAAGCGGAGGGAUCAUUACUGAGUUACCGCUCAUCAACCCUUUGUGAACAUACCUUAACUGUUGCUUCGGCGGGUAGGCGUCCCCUAAAAAGGACGUCUCCCGGCCCUCUCCCGUCCGCGGGUGGGGCGCCCGCCGGAGGAUAACCAAACUCUGAUUUAACGACGUUUCUUCUGAGUGACACAAGCAAAUAAUCAAAACUUUUAACAACGGAUCUCUUGGUUCUGGCAUCGAUGAAGAACGCAGCGAAAUGCGAUAAGUAAUGUGAAUUGCAGAAUUCAGUGAAUCAUCGAAUCUUUGAACGCACAUUGCGCCCGCCAGCAUUCUGGCGGGCAUGCCUGUUCGAGCGUCAUUUCAACCCUCAAGCUCUGCUUGGUGUUGGGGCUCUACGGUUGACGUAGGCCCUUAAAGGUAGUGGCGGACCCUCUCGGAGCCUCCUUUGCGUAGUAACAUUUCGUCUCGCAUUGGGAUUCGGAGGGACUCUAGCCGUAAAACCCCCAAUUUUACUAAGGUUGACCUCGGAUCAGGUAGGAAUACCCGCUGAACUUAAGCAUAU
This is a ribosomal RNA of 590 nucleotides. The stretch from base 233 to 386 matches the Rfam family "5.8S ribosomal RNA".